GCGAUCGUCAUUGGAAUAGCCAUAUUUUUGUACUGUUAAUUUAUUAAGAAUAUAUCUUGGUUAGCCAAAAAGAAGGGUGCGAGUUCUGGUUCUAAUGCCACGAACAGUUGGCACAACAUGGUGUCAACGCAAUUGGUUGGAACAGAUGUUACUGCUUCCAGAGAGACUGAUGUCUUCCUCUGCGCCAUUGAUCAAGGACGAAACUUAACCCAAUGACGAUGUUAUUAACAGCCUCUUAAGAAGGACGAACCAACCAGAGCUAGAUACGUCAACUACUUCGUAAAAGGACUGGAUUGGAAACUUUACAACGUAGACGACCGAAUCCAC
Molecule: long non-coding RNA, 327 nt
Filed under: Mytilus galloprovincialis (Mediterranean mussel)
Lineage: Eukaryota; Metazoa; Mollusca; Bivalvia; Mytilida; Mytilidae
Source: RNAcentral